GAGAUAUUUUGGCCUGGGUAUAGGGAUGCGCAAAAGAAAAAACGGUGAUCGAAACCUGACUCGACAAAUAAACCCGAAGCCAGGUAUUAGAAAAAGCCGGCUAUAUACUGGUUCCAUAUCAUAUGAUUUGAAAGUGGUUUCAACCCAGUUAUACCCGACUUGAACCGGUCAAAACCUGAUCACUUCCUCUCUAAAACCUGGUUCUCUACUCGACCCAGGUAUUGCCAUACCCGGUUUUUGACCUUGUUGACCAAACCCUUAACCGGUUUCAAUGCAGAACCAGGUAUGGUCCAAUCCCUGAUUUGUGCACCACUAGGUCCGGGUGUGGGUAUAUUAUAUAUACCUCUAAUUUUUAACAUUUCUGUGCAAUUAGGUUUGUACAUUAUGUUGUAGUGCUUUUCUCUGCAUAUUUGUGGUGUACUUUUUGGUAUGUGGGUUGUACCUUUUCUUUGCAUACCACGUGUACUCACAUAAUAUAAUCAGGUCAUUGUUUGAGGGAAAACCAUCAAUCAAACCCUUGCUCCUGAUCAGAUUAGAGAUAUACAGAGAGGGAGGGCGAUAGAAAGAUUAUAGAAAGAGAGAGGGAAUCGAUUCCAUAGUGGUUUGAUGGCGGUGGAUUGAGCCGGAGCUGCGGAGACGGUGGCCGGUGAUCGCUGCGUUUGUUUAUUAGGUGAGGUGAGCGCACGUCGCAACACUGGGAGGUACACCUUUGAGGUGAUAUGGUUGAAGACUCAUUAGUCAAUUUUCCUCUGUCAGGUGUGUCUCUCUUCUUUCAGAUGACCACCGUCCAUUUAGGGUCCGUUCCGGCACAAUAGAUCGGAAACCACAAACCUUGUGUCAGGGGGCAAGAGAAAGAGAGAGAAAGACCUUACGGUGUACAGAAAGAAAGAAAGAGAAAGACAAGCGGUGGGGUUUAGGGUUCCGGCCUUUUUCAAAAAGAGAGAACGGUGUAGCGGCUCCGGAAUAGAGAGAGAGAGAGAGAGAGAUAGGAGGGUGACAUUUCAGAAUCCCGAUCUGCUGUUGAAAGACGCAAGGAAGCAGGUGCCCACUUGGGUUGGUUGUUUCCUCUGUCGCUUUCAAGGCAGCGCCCACUUCCAAUUUCAUCAGCAAGCAAUUGCAUUUUAGGUCUGGAAAUUCAACCAAGACCCAAGAAAGGCUCCAGGCGACUCAUGCGGCUACAAAUGAUUCAUGAAGCUAAGCCUCAAUGAAGAUUCAAGCUUCUGAUCUGGAAUGACAACACAAGAAGAUUUCAAAUUUCAACAUUGAAAAAUGAAAUUUGGUACACGAAUAAAAAUGUAUUGAAAUAUUGUUUGGGGAAUUUUCGGGAUUGCUUUUCAUAUCACGGUUCAACCAUGGUGUGUAGAAGGAUGUCACCUUUCUUAUCAUAAAGCUUGAUGUUUGAGGGUGAUUAUAUCAAAUGGGAAAAGAAAAGAAAUCUCAUUCAAUGGAAGUUGUUUCUGUAUAAAGUGGAGAUCAUAUAUAUAGGUAUCCUUCUUUAAUAACAUAUUGAGUUAUGUAGGUAGGCUUUAUAGGUUAUCCUAUUGUAUAGUUAUGUUUGACCCAUAAUAAGUUUAUCAUUUUCGAAUUGGGUCUUAGUUUUAGGUCUAUUGGUCUUUAUUUCGCAUUGUAUCUCAUUGUAUGGCUGCACGUAUAAAUAUACAAUUUAAGGUUAACCAAGUUAUGGUUUACUUUUCAUGAACUCAAAUAAUGGCGCUUCAUGAUAGCAUUAUUUAAUUGGUA
Molecule: RNA transcript, 1740 nt
Organism: Helianthus annuus (common sunflower)
Lineage: Eukaryota; Viridiplantae; Streptophyta; Magnoliopsida; Asterales; Asteraceae
Exons: 4
Source: RefSeq, a predicted model, not a curated record